UACGGGGGGAGCAAGCGUUGUUCGGAUUUACUGGGCGUAAAGGGCGCGUAGGCGGCGCACCAAGUCACUUGUGAAAUCUCCGGGCUUAACCCGGAGCGGCCAAGUGAUACUGUCGUGCUAGAGUGCGGAAGGGGCUACUGGAAUUCUCGGUGUAGCGGUGAAAUGCGUAGAUAUCGAGAGGAACACCUGCGGCGAAGGCGGGUAGCUGGGCCGACACUGACGCUGAGGCGCGAAAGCGUGGGGAGCAAACAGG
This 253-nucleotide ribosomal RNA is filed under the name uncultured bacterium. RNAcentral's name for it is "partial 16S ribosomal RNA". It matches the Rfam family "Bacterial small subunit ribosomal RNA", at positions 524 to 776 of the family's 1533-position model. The record is from RNAcentral.